AUUGAACGCUGGCGGCAGGCUUAACACAUGCAAGUUGAGCGGGGGAAGGUAGCUUGCUACCGGACCUAGCGGCGGACGGGUGAGUAAUGCUUAGGAAUCUGCCUAUUAGUGGGGGACAACAUCUCGAAAGGGAUGCUAAUACCGCAUACGUCCUACGGGAGAAAGGAGGGGAUCUUCGGACCUUGCGCUAAUAGAUGAGCCUAAGCCAGAUUAGCUAGUUGGUGGGGUAAAGGACUACCAAGGGGACGAUCUGUAGCGGGUCUGAGAGGAUGAUCCGCCACACUGGGACUGAGACACGGCCCAGACUCCUACGGGAGGCAGCAGUGGGGAAUAUUGGACAAUGGGGGGAACCCUGAUCCAGCCAUGCCGCGUGUGUGAAGAAGGCCUUAUGGUUGUAAAGCACUUUAAGCGAGGGGGAGGCUACUUUAGUUAAUACCUAGAGAUAGUGGACGUUACUCGCAGAGUAAGCACCGGCUAACUCUGUGCCAGCAGCCGCAGUAA
This 501-nucleotide ribosomal RNA is filed under the name uncultured bacterium. Its description in RNAcentral is "partial 16S ribosomal RNA". It matches the Rfam family "Bacterial small subunit ribosomal RNA", at positions 30 to 523 of the family's 1533-position model. The record is from RNAcentral.